Molecule: transfer RNA, 81 nt
Filed under: Bolitoglossa dofleini
Lineage: Eukaryota; Metazoa; Chordata; Amphibia; Caudata; Plethodontidae
Description: tRNA-Leu
Source: RNAcentral
CUAAUCGAUUUUUGGGUGGCAGAGCGUGGUAAUUGCAAAAGGCUAAGCCCUUAUGACGAGAGUUCAAUCUCUCCUCCAACU